GGGAUUGUAGCUCAGUGGUAGAGCACUUGCCUUGCACGCAUAAGGCACUGGGUUUGAUCCUCAGCACCCA
This 70-nucleotide transfer RNA is filed under the name Marmota marmota marmota (Alpine marmot). It matches the Rfam family "tRNA". Rfam says of the family: Transfer RNA (tRNA) molecules are approximately 80 nucleotides in length. Their secondary structure includes four short double-helical elements and three loops (D, anti-codon, and T loops). Lineage: Eukaryota; Metazoa; Chordata; Mammalia; Rodentia; Sciuridae. The record is from Rfam by way of RNAcentral. RNAcentral also lists the same sequence under 1 other name.